Molecule: ribosomal RNA, 687 nt
Filed under: uncultured Tricholoma
Lineage: Eukaryota; Fungi; Basidiomycota; Agaricomycetes; Agaricales; Tricholomataceae
Description: eukaryotic LSU rRNA
Rfam family: 5.8S ribosomal RNA (bases 288-441)
Source: RNAcentral
AAGUCGUAACAAGGUUUCCGUAGGUGAACCUGCGGAAGGAUCAUUAUUGAAUAAGCUUGGUUGGGUUGUUGCUGGCUCUCAGGAGCAUGUGCACGCCUAACACCAAACUUUUUACCACCUGUGCACCUUCUGUAGACCUGGAUAAACUCUCGAGGAAACUCGGUUUGAGGACUGCUGUGCGCAAAGCCAGCUUUCCUUGUACCUCCGGUCUAUGUUUAUAUACACCCCUAUAGUAUGUCUCAGRAUGUUUGUUGUUGGGCUUUGAAUGCCUUUAAAACUUUAAAUACAACUUUCAACAACGGAUCUCUUGGCUCUCGCAUCGAUGAAGAACGCAGCGAAAUGCGAUAAGUAAUGUGAAUUGCAGAAUUCAGUGAAUCAUCGAAUCUUUGAACGCAUCUUGCGCUCCUUGGUAUUCCGAGGAGCAUGCCUGUUUGAGUGUCAUCAAGUUCCUCAAACCACAUCUUGUGGUGUGGCUUUGGAUAUGGGAGUUUUUUUUUGCAGGCUUUUGAAAAUGAAGCCGGCUCUCCUGAAAUGAAUUAGUGGUAUCUGAGCAGUGGAACUACUAUGGGGUGUGAUAAGUUAUCUAUGCCCUUUGUAAUGCUGUAUGAACAGAUCACACUGCUUCCAACAGAAAACAUGUUUGAUGAAUUUGACCUCAAAUCAGGUAGGACUACCCGCUGAACUUAA